GCCGCCAUAGAGCUCAGUGGCAGAGCGCUUUCUUGGGUAAGAAAGAGGUCUCGGGUUCAACCCCCGAUGGUGGCUCCA
This 78-nucleotide transfer RNA is filed under the name Mycobacteroides abscessus subsp. abscessus. Its description in RNAcentral is "tRNA-Pro". It matches the Rfam family "tRNA". Rfam says of the family: Transfer RNA (tRNA) molecules are approximately 80 nucleotides in length. Their secondary structure includes four short double-helical elements and three loops (D, anti-codon, and T loops). Lineage: Bacteria; Bacillati; Actinomycetota; Actinomycetes; Mycobacteriales; Mycobacteriaceae. The record is from RNAcentral.